AAGCAAGAUGACCCGCCGAAUUAAKCAUAUAAUUAAUGCGGANGAAAAGA
Molecule: ribosomal RNA, 50 nt
Filed under: Pseudo-nitzschia delicatissima
Lineage: Eukaryota; Bacillariophyta; Bacillariophyceae; Bacillariales; Bacillariaceae
Description: partial large subunit ribosomal RNA
Source: RNAcentral